UACUUAGUUGUUUUCAGACAUUUUGUCU
RNAcentral lists this non-coding RNA (28 nucleotides) under Rattus norvegicus (Norway rat). Lineage: Eukaryota; Metazoa; Chordata; Mammalia; Rodentia; Muridae. The record is from RNAcentral.